UGAGGAAUAUUGGGCAAUGCCCGCAAGGGUGACCCAGCAACGCCGCGUGGAGGAUGAAUGUCGUAAGAUUGUAAACUCCUGUUAGAGGGGAAGAAUAGUCCCGAUCGACUCGGGAUUUGACUGUACCCUCAGAGAAAGCCCCGGCUAACUCCGUGCCAGCAGCCGCGGUAAUACGGAGGGUGCAAGCGUUGUUCGGAAUUACUGGGCGUAAAGGGCGUGUAGGCGGCUGGCUAAGUCUGGUGUGAAAGCCCGGGGCUCACCCCCGGAAGUGCGCUGGAAACUGGUCAGCUAGAGUAUGGGAGAGGAAAGCAGAAUUCCUGGUGUAGCGGUGAAAUGCGUAGAUAUCAGGAGGAACACCGGCGGCGAAGGCGGCUUUCUGGACCAAUACUGACACUGAGGCGCGAAAGCGUGGGGAGCAAACAGGAUUAGAUACCCUGGUAGUCCACGCCCUAAACGAUGAGAACUAGCCGUUGGGGGUAUUUAAACCCUUAGUGGCGCAGCUAACGCGAUAAGUUCUCCGCCUGGGGAGUACGGCCGCAAGGUUA
This 545-nucleotide ribosomal RNA is filed under the name uncultured bacterium. RNAcentral's name for it is "bacterial SSU rRNA". It matches the Rfam family "Bacterial small subunit ribosomal RNA", at positions 355 to 896 of the family's 1533-position model. The record is from RNAcentral.